UGGCCAUCCGAGUUGUAAUCUAGAGAAGUGUUACCCGCGUCGAACCGUGUACAAGUCUCCUGGAAUGGAGCGUCAUAGAGGGUGAGAAUCCCGUCUUUGACACGGACCCCCGAGGCUUUGUGGUGCUCUCAAAGAGUCGAGUUGUUUGGGAAUGCAGCUCAAAAUGGGUGGUAAAUUCCAUCUAAAGCUAAAUAUUGGCGAGAGACCGAUAGCGAACAAGUACCGUGAGGGAAAGAUGAAAAGAACUUUGGAAAGAGAGUUAAACAGUACGUGAAAUUGCUGAAAGGGAAACGCUUGAAGUCAGUCGCGUUGGCCGGAAAUCAGCCUGGCUUUUGCCUGGUGUACUUUCUGGUUGACGGGCCAGCAUCAGUUUUGAUUGGUGGAAAAAGUCUAGAGGAAGGUGGCAUCUUCGGAUGUGUUAUAGCCUCUGGUCGUAUACAUCAGUUGGGACUGAGGAACUCAGCACGCCGCAAGGCCGGGUCUUUGACCACGUUCGUGCUUAGGAUGCUGGCAUAAUGGCUUUAAUCGACCCGUCUUGAAACACGGACCAAGGAGUCUAACAUGCCUGCGAGUGUUUGGGUGGAAAACCCGAGCGCGUAAUGAAAGUGAAAGUUGAGAUCCCUGUCAUGGGGAGCAUCGACGCCCGGACCUGAAGUUCUCUGACGGCCCUGCGGUAGAGCAUGUAUGUUGGGACCCGAAAGAUGGUGAACUAUGCCUGAAUAGGGUGAAGCCAGAGGAAACUCUGGUGGAGGCUCGUAGC
Molecule: ribosomal RNA, 760 nt
Filed under: Psathyrella pygmaea
Lineage: Eukaryota; Fungi; Basidiomycota; Agaricomycetes; Agaricales; Psathyrellaceae
Description: eukaryotic LSU rRNA
Rfam family: Eukaryotic large subunit ribosomal RNA
Source: RNAcentral